This is a non-coding RNA of Pteropus alecto (black flying fox), 107 nucleotides long. Lineage: Eukaryota; Metazoa; Chordata; Mammalia; Chiroptera; Pteropodidae. The record is from Rfam.
GUGCUCGCUUUGGCAGCACGUAUACUAAAAUUGGAAUGAUACAGAGAAGAUUAGCAUGGCCCCUGCACAUGGGUGAUAUGCAAAUUUGUGAAAUGUUCCAUAUUUUU